UAUGUGUGAACUUCCGCAUGUAAUUGUUUUUUGUAUUUCUCAUGCUUUGAUUCACAAUUAGCUUGGCAACGUACAUCAAUCAAGGUAUGUUACUAAUUUUUGGUUCUGUUUUGAAUAUAUCAAUAUCCAACUCAAAUAAUGACUUCGUGUACUGUUUUCCUUUUUCUUUUUAUGUUCUGUUUCAGGAGCACAGACAUUCAACUCUAUAGAGAGUAUGCAAUUAAUAGGUAUACAUAAGCUUCUUUGUUCAUUUCAAAAUAAGUAUUACAAUUGCUUUAAUGCGUAUGGGUUCCAGAGGUAUAAAUUAGAUGUGUGUAUGGAUGGUAGGUAAAUUUCAUGCAGUUAUGCACUCAAAGAAUGACUUCAUGUACUGUUUUCCUUUUUCUUUUUAUGUUCUGUUUCAGGAGCAUAGACAUUGAACUCUACAGAGAGUAUGCAAUUAAUAGGUAUACAUAAGCUUCUUUGUUCAUUUGAAAAUAAGUAUUACGAUUGCUUUAAUGCGUAUGGGUUCCAGAGGUAUAAACUAGAUGUGUGUAUGGAUGGUAG
This 546-nucleotide long non-coding RNA is filed under the name Triticum aestivum (bread wheat). RNAcentral describes it as "long non-coding RNA (TAES_LNC020305)". The record is from RNAcentral. Lineage: Eukaryota; Viridiplantae; Streptophyta; Magnoliopsida; Poales; Poaceae.